RNAcentral lists this long non-coding RNA (21446 nucleotides) under Lactuca sativa (garden lettuce). RNAcentral describes it as "long non-coding RNA (LSAT_LNC001283)". The record is from RNAcentral. Lineage: Eukaryota; Viridiplantae; Streptophyta; Magnoliopsida; Asterales; Asteraceae.
UCUCUCUUUAUUUAUUUCUCCAAUCAAGUUGCUUUGGUGAAGGCAACCCAAAAGGACCAUGCACCAUCAGGUCAAGUACAUACCAAAAUAGUUAUGGACUUAGACACUAAUCCAACAAUUAUUUCAAAGGGGCUUCGUUAGCAAUAAAUAUCCUAAAGGCAACCAUGAGGGGGACAGAGUACACCAGUGAGCACAUCGUUCACAACACCUACAGGUUAUGAGCCUGGUAGUGUUCUACAGGACAGUCUAGAAAGAGUUUGUUGUCGUCAUCCAUACUCUGCUGAAUGACUAGAUCAACCACAACAACAUCGAGGCCUCUCAUCUGUUUAUUACACACCAACUAUCUACCCAUGUUCUACCCAACAUAUUAGUAGAUAAAAAUAUACAUUUUUAUACAUAGUUUAAAACCUGUAUAGCAUGCUUUAAUCAAUACAUAUUCCACAUAACAGAUGAGGCACACACACAUAACACGUAUUUCAUAGAGAAUAAAUCAGAUCUAUGAGAUAGAAGAGAGUGAAUAUACAUUCACACAUAUAACAACAAAAUAUAUACACAUAGCACGUAUUUUAUAUAAAAUACUUCAUAAUAAUGUGUUGGAAGAAAGUAACUACACACUCACUUGAUCAAAAGAUGAUCGGACAGCACUACGGCUUGCAGAAGUAGUGUUUCUCCGUAGAUCUGGAAGAUUUUCACAAAAACCGGGCUCCUCGCGGGCAGGGCUUCGGCUCGGAAAUCUCACUUCUCGGGAUCCUCGGGGCUUCGGAUCUUGCUUCGGGGCUCGGGAAUAAUACCGGGGCUUCGGGGUAUAAAUGGCACGCAAAUCGAGGAAAAAGCUAAGAGAGAAAGGAAGAAGUUUGUAAAGGAAAGAAGCUGCCCUUGUUUGCCCCUUUUAUAGGGUUGAACCCUCGCAUUACGAUGCGCGUACUACUUCGUUAUGAUGGGCGUAAUGCCAAAAGCGUCACUGCAUGCGUCAUCGGAGUACUCGAGUGCGAGGCUGCGUCACGAUUCGCUGUAUGCUAGGCAUACAACAUUACGAUGGGCGUAACCCGGAUAAGUCCGGUGACUCCCCUUCGGAUAAUAUCAGAAGUUUAAAUUUAAAUUUAUAUUUUAAUUAUUUAAUAAACAUCAAAAAUUCAUAUCUCCCUCAUACAAACUCCGUUUUCGACGUUCUUUAUAUCCACACGUAGGUGAGACUACGCUCUACAACUUUCGUUUAAACUCUGUCGGCUAAUUUUGAAUUUAUUUUUAUUAUUUAUUUUUAGUAGGCCGGGACAGGAAAACUUCAUUAUAAUUUCAUAACUUCUUCGUCCGACGUCCGUUCUCGCCUAACUUUUCAUCGUUUCGCUACUAACAACGAGAUCUUCGAUUCUCAUUUAGAUUGUUUCAGCUAAAAACUACUCAAUCUCAAAUCGAGUAUUCGGGCUGCAUACUACCAAGUUGAAACUUCAGAAAAUCAUAACUUCCUCAUACGAAGUCAGAUUUGGGCGUUCCUUUUAUGCACACUCUCGGUUUAACGAAAUCUACGACUUUCGUUUAGAUCGCUAAGGCUAAAUAUCGCUCUANUGCAAAGAUAUCGAGUUUAUUUUACACUUAAAUUUUGACACUCAUUUUAUUCUUAAUUCAUUAAAUUAAAAUAAUUAAGAAAAUAAACACAUAAUUCACAAAUAAUACAUUUUUAUUAUUUCAAAUUGGGUUAGAAAGGUUAACCUAGACUAUUAUUUUGCUAAAAAUGGCAUGCCCAGAAAUACAGGCGUUACACUCCACCUUCUCCAAUUAUUCUCCCUAUCCCACAAGUUCAAGGUCACUCUACCCCUAUUGGCAAGCAAGGUCUAUGUAUGCUCACAUCUUGGAGAUGAAGUCACAUAUUGACAAGCCGUGAGAGUUGGGUGUCAAAGUCUUGAGAAAGUUGGAUGUCCAACCACUUUCUAAGUCAUAUAGUGUCACAACUAGCAUUUUUAGCUAGGAAAUUCUAUUCUCAUAUAAACAUCAUCCAUUGUAAAAGCAUGUACUCUAAGUGAAUACAAUACUCUAUCCUCGUUCAAAAUACACCUCAUAUGUUCAACUAAGGGUUGGAAACCUUAGUAAUCCCGGUCCAAGUUCCUUAUGAACUAAAAUUCUCCUAUUGGGCCUAAUGGACCAAUAAACCUUCAACUUGACUACUUUGGGCCAUGAUGGGCCAUAAAGGGAUUUAACUACCCCUAAUGGGCCCUAAACCCAUUUCUUUUACCAUUUUGGGCCGUGAGCCUCCUUAAGAGCCCAAUGGGCCGAAAAAUGAUUUUUGGGCCUCAUAAAUUAGAUCAAGACCAACAAUGGGCAAAAUCACCUCAUCCUCAUUUAUCUUAGCCCAAUCUCGGCCCAAGAUCAUUCCAAAACAAAAAAAAAAGAAAUAAACAAAUGGAAGAAGGUUGAUUUAAGCUUUGCCAACACAUAAUUAUCUAGCAUAUAUCUAGAUAAUCACAUACAUCUAGACACUUAUUACCCUCCAUGCAAUACUCCUUAUCUCUUCUUUUUCUCUCCUUAUUUCUCUUGGCCGAGAAGAACACACACACACACACACACUUCACUUGCAAAAAUUUCUCUUAAGCUCUCAAGAACAACUCCUCCAUCAUCCCCCAAAAAUUUCGAGAUUUAGGGUGUUUACAAGAGGAUUUUUCACCACAAACUCCAUACUUGGGUAAGUUAUUAUCAAACACCAACAUCUCCUUUCAAUGUAACCUUAAGAACUCCUUCUUACAUAACUUUAUUCCAUGAUCACACCUUAGAAACUUCAUAUGCUCAAAAACUACUUCAAGGUGUUACUAGGACUAAAAAUCUCCUCAUAUCUUCUUCAAAACCGAAACAUCAAAGCAAAGGUGAGCUUCAUACCCCCUUAUUUUCGGUUUUUAUAAGUUUUGUGGGGGGAGAAUACAAGCAAAUGUGUAGAUCUAUGAUUAUGUGUAUGCUUUGUAUGAUUUCUAUGUUUAUUUACAUAUUCUUAUGUGUUCAUGGUGUUGAAACUAGUCAAAAAGACCUUAAAAUCGAGAUUUGCAUUAUGAUGUAUGAAACAAAUGCUAAACAUAUCAUUAAACAUAAGUCACUACUAGAAAAAUAACCAAGUUGGUUAAGAUGAACUCCUUGGGCUAAAAAUCUCAUUUUUGGACUCAAAAUGCUAAAAAUAUGAAAUUUAAGGGCCCAAAAUGUAAAAAUACAAAUUCUGAGGGUUGAUAUGUGUCAAAACAGUUUCAUCAAGGGAUUUUCCAGAAAACGUACACUUUGGAAUGAUUAAAAUGUAAAUUUUUAAGCUUAAUGGGCUAAAAAUGAACUUUUCGGCCCAAUAAGGCCCAAUAUGCGAGAUUUGCAAAGUUGAGGGGCUGAAAAUGUAUUUUUCUGUAAAACAGGGGACUACUAGUGCCCCAAGUCCAUUUCAAAGGUUAAAAAUGCUUUUCAUAUUCAAAAGGGACCAAAGAUGCAAAAAUUUUCUAUUUUGGGCCAAAAGUGUAAAAAUUGCGAAAACAUGGGUUUCAGCUGAAAAAGUUUCAUUUUGAGGGACUAAAACUGUUUUUCAAAAAGCUUGGAGCUGAAAAAUACCUUUUCCACAAGUUUUGAUACUAAAGUGUCAAGAAAAACGUUAGAGGACUAAAAUAUAAAUUCUUUUAUAUAAGGGGUCCAAAAGUGUAAAUUCAUCCAAAAGAAAGGGGCUGGAAAAUGUAAAAUACUAAUGUCUUAAAUAAUGAACCCGACACGAUGAAAUACUAGUACCUCGACUAUCGGCGAAAUUCAAUACACCUUCAACACCAAAAUCGUUAUCAAACGAAUUGAUUCGGUCUCGAAUCAAUAACAAUCCGAAACUACUAACACGACGAUAUUUCAAUACACACAUGGAAAUCUCAGAAACUCAAUACACACACGGGAAUACACCAGACGUCGAUACACUGUCCUUGGGCCCAAAAGUUUCAAAUCAUGCUUGUUGGGCCUAGCUAGCCCGAUGACAUGAUCUUUAGGCCCGAAGGAAACUCGCUUACAUGUAGUUGGGUCUUAUAUGACCUAAUUUCGUGUAAAAGGACUUUUACAGGCUUUGUGUUGUUGGACCCCAAGGGCCUUCUGGUGCUGCUAGUAAAGUCGAGAAUUCACCAAAUGCGAGUCGGGCUAAGGGUCCUUCGCAUUCACGAUAGCCUUGAACGACGUAGGGAAAUACCGGGGUUUCGCACCCUCUUUUUCCCCUCGGUUGUGGGGCUACAUGAGUCCGGGUGGUUGGGUUAAGUGAAUAGUGCGAGCGACGCCUAAGGGAUCCUUUGUACGGUUGUCAACUAGUCAUUUUCAUUAAUGUAGGUUUACAACAAUUCACAAUCCACAAUUAAUCCAACGACUCCGGAGCUCAACGAAUACACCUGUCGUAACGAAAUAACAAAACAUAAAUUAUUUAAUGCAAAGUAUUAGGAAAACGUCGGGUUUUCCUAGGGUUUUCAAUUAAUACACCUACGAACUACAUACCGAGUUUUACAAAUCGUACUUUUACAUUUAUAGAAACAAACAAGGAUACUUACGGAUCUUCACACUUUUUAUACUAUGACUCUUUUCAGAAGAUAUCGGAUUUUCUGGUGAAUUUCAAAACAAUACAAACCAUUAUAUUUCAAACAUUACUUAUGAACUCACCAACAUUUCAUAUGUUGACGUUUUUCAAAAUACUUGUAUUCUCAGGUAACAGGUAGAUCGAAAAGGAAAAAAAUGUACCCAGUGAUGUCUUGUUGUUUGUUUAACUAGUAUUGAACAAUCUACUUUUGAGAAUGUAAUGUUUUGAAACUAUGUACUGAAUGUAAACGCUACCAGUUGUAAUAUUCCAAUGCUUGGUAUUGUAUGAUGUUAUGUUUCAUGUAUAUUCAUUGUGAUGGUAUUCAAUUGAGUCACAACAGCCCUCGGAUGUUUCCGCCGUCUGGUUCGGGGGUGUGACAUAUAGUGAGUUCAUUUGGGACUCUUAUGAAACAGACUAUGCCAAGACCCUUAAUGAUCUUAUCUAUUUUCUAAGAUCAACUUCCCAAAACUUUAUGAACAUUGACAUUGAUAACAUUGGAAAUCCAGAAAAACAUUCUCUUCGGAAUGGAAAGGGAUCGGCCAUAGUCAAUUCAGUUGACCAAAUGGUAAAGAGAAAUGCUAAGUCUGUGAUAGUCCCAUGUACCAUUACCAUAGAGUCCAUAUGUUAAAUUGCCAAAGGAAGGGACAUUAAUUGUGAAGCUGCCAAUUUUUACCUAAGGAUGUUAAAGUCAAUAAGUUUGACUCUACUUCAAGUAAAGUCCACUAUCUAACUUUGUUAAGUUUCUAUUCGGAUAUUCUUGAUACAUGAUGUGACUGGGUCACAUGUUGAUGUUUUAAGAAUCGAAGAAAAGUGAAGAAACUUAAAGAAAGAAUAUGUUGAAUCUGAUCGCGUAGAUGGAUUUCUAUCACAUAGUUUGAAGAUCGGAUUCGUGAGCUACUUCUUAGGAGUUAUGAUAUAUUGCUUAGGAAUAGAUAACAACAAAGUUUUCAUGUGCUUUGCACUUAAAGGAUAGUUUUCCGUAAUGUUUUUAAAAUAAAAGGAAAAAUUUUGAUUUUAUUUAUUUUAAAAUAUCCUUACAAUCCAUAUUUCCAAUAUUGCUAUCAAUGGAAUUUGUGAAAAACUUUGUUGCUUAUAUGAUUCCAUUAAUAGCAAUAUUGGAAAUAUGGAUUUGAUUCUUUCAUUUGUGGUAGUGUCAAAAUUUACCAAAUAAGGAAAGAUUCUCAUCACCCAAGUUUCAGUUGGAUAGAAACCUGGAAUCAUGCAAGUUGUAUGAUGAAUGAGAAUUUUCAUCUUUGGAAAAUUAAGACUAAUUCCUUGUUCACAUGUUUAAGUGAGUCAAGUAAAGGACUAAGGGAUCGAGUACACAUUCUUGUGUACUAGUCAAGUCCACCACAAAAGAUCGAUAAGACUAUUCGACAUGAUUUACUAAAGCUCAUUAAAUAUGGUUAUACUUACAUGUUUAAAGUAUAAUUCAGAGACAUUGGAAACGGUUCCAAUGUAUGGCAGAGCGAAUAAGAAGAAUCAACUUAGGCAGAAGGAUAAAAUUUUCUCAAAUCUGAAAAGAUGGGAGAGUACUUUAGUACCAUGAUAUAUGAUCAUCUUAAAUAUUAAGAGAUCUCAUCACAAUUCAUCCUCUAAGUGCAUUCUAGUAGCUAAGAAGAGGAGUUAUGAACUGUUGAAGUGGUUAAAUCAAGAAGAUGAUUCAUACUUCGUUCCAAAAACAAUUCUUAGAGUUAUACUCCAAGAUUGUAAUUUGAGUGACACAUAUUAAAGAAGGUUUACUAACACUAGUCAAAUGUAAGAGUAAAAGGUUUUCUACUCUUGUACAUUUGAAAUUGGAAAGUUGUGAUGUUUUGGAUAAAACAAAGACCAACAUAGACCAAUUGUUUGAAGUGUUUGUCUUGAUUAGAAUCCACACUAUCUCUUGAAUAUCAGAAAAGAAAGUCGUAUAUGUCAAGAGGACAGUGGGAGUCUUAAAGGUAUUGAAAGUCUCAAGAACUAAUCAAGAAUAAAACUUGAAGUUCUUCACUAGCACACGACUUGAGGUUUAUAACUUAUCGUGUUGACAUAUUUCUAUUUUUGUGCCCAUUCCAGUUAAAGUUGGCUUUGCAUAUAAGUUCUUAGAGUUCUCAAUUGGUUGCAUAACAACUUGGAAGCAAUGGCAGGCCCUUGAGCUGCUAGGUGGCAAGAAAAUAAGAUUGAGUCCAGUCCAUAUGAGUUUAGAUUUGUCAUUAUCCUUGUCUUGUGACUAUGGUUUUGACAAUUCACAUGGAUAAGAACACAUACACCAUAAAAUCUAAGGUUCAUAAGGUUUCUCUCCCAUUCAUGAAAAUGGUGGUGAGGAAACAUUUCCACCAAGUAGAUUUUAACUAGAUAGCAAUUGUGAUAUUUGCAUUCUCAAAGUCGUUAGUGGAGCGUGUGUGGUUAACCGGCACACUAACAUGGACUUUUGAGAAGUGGAAAAGGUCUAAACAAUCGAGACUAUGAUUACGGAAUUGUUUAGACACACCUACGAGCUAUCUAAGAUAAGGUGUAUGAUAUUGUUAAAGUUUUAUCAAAGCAAUCUAGUAUCAGAAAUUUGAACUUUGGUAAGAAAGUCAAUAAAGUAUUGAUUUCUAGAAGUCCAGUUGAAUUCUGAGUACAUGUCAAAGCUAGUAGGAGCAUAAGUGUUAUGCUAAUAAUCAUCAUGUUAGUGGGAGCAUGAUAAUUAUGAUAAGUAUUGCAAGUUAGCAAUGUUAAUUAUAGAAAACAAAAGUUUCAAUUCGUUGAAAAAUGUGUUUUGCUAUAAUUAAGGGAGAGUAAAUUAUACUUCAUGUCAAUUCUAAAAGGCUUAGAGUAAGUAUUUAAGCUUAGAUUGAGAUUUUAAUCAUCUUUAGUCAACAAUAUAUAUAUAUGUAUAUAUAUAUAUAUAUAUAUGAAUUUCAUGUUGGAUUCGUUCAACAUAAGGAAAUUCUAUAUAUUGCGUUCUCAAAAUACGAUUAUGAUUACGGCAUCCCUCUUCAUAGUCAAAUCUUGAGAACAUGGCAAAUAAAAAAAUAUUGUAGCAAAAGAUUGGUCUAGAAUCAUGUCUUUAUGGGAGACAUCAUGAAUCAUGUCCCAUUUGCCUUGGGUACAGGAUCGAUUGCAUGUGCUAUAAUAUUUAUCCUUUCUAAAUUUUCCAAAUUCCUGGGGCAUUAAGAGGGGAAAGGUCUAGAAUUGGAUUUGAAGUGAUUAAGGAAUUGUCGAGGACAAUCUAAGGUUUUACCAAGGAUUGGUUCCUCAAGGACAGUUAGAAGUAUAGUGUUGACUUUGGAAGGACCAUAUUGACCUAAUCUGAAAAGAGGCAACUGUUGUUCAGAAGGGGUAGUCAAAAUGGGAAUAUGGAGUUAUCUCCAUAGAUGGAAGCAAUAUGUGUAAGAUUAGAAAAAAAAACUAGUGCAAGAAGCAUGUUCAAAGCAAUGCAUAAUUUAAACAUAACACUUUGUUUCCAUGGAGUAGACCUUCAUUGGAAUACCCUGUAAUGACUGUUGACAAGUCUUUGUGACAUUGUACAUGUUCAUUACAAGAGGGUAGUGCAUAUAAGUUUAAAUCUAACAGAUUUCAAUAAUUGAUAAGAAUUUGGAAUUCUUACGAUAAGGAAUUGGGAGUGUCAAAUUAGAAUCACGGUUCAAUUGGUUUAUUUCACAAAGUAAAGAUCAUAGACAAACUUGGUAUGCAUAGUUGGAGUAUGGCAUAACUAAUGUUUAGACAAACAUAGAGUGCAUACUUGGUGUAUGGCAAAGCUAUUGUUUAGAAAAACAUAAUGUACAUGCUCGGAGCAUGGGACAACUAGUGUUUUUAAUUCAAGAAUAAAGUUGAUAGUUGAAACAGUAUGCAAUGAAUAAUGUGUAAUCAUAUGGUGAUAAAUAAAAGGUGUUUUAUUUAUAUUCAUAAGUUCUGAGACCAUAUUGGAUUCAAUUAUUCUUGUAUUUCAUUUUGUAUGUUUUGACUUCCAGGAUAACUAGGUCGUUCUUCCUGAAAGACUAAGUUAUUCAAACCAUCCACAGUCGGUCAUAUGUUGGAAGUAGAUAUGAAUCAAGACUAUCAUGGUUUGGGCUUGUAGAGGUCUAAGAUGUUGGACAAGGUGGUGCUACAACAUUCAUGAGUGCUCAUAAGUUCUGACUAUUGGAUUCAACCCGCGCUCAUUGGAAUCACUUCAUGGAUUUUAUCACAAGUGAUCAUGAGACGAUAAUAUCUUAUAUUCUUUAAACCUAGAGAUAUGAGUUGUUACUAUGAGUUGGUUGUACAUUGAUUGCACGAAAACGCAUUGGGAACUCGAUGUUAUAAAACGUGCCUUUGUGUAUGAUUCAACAAGUAGUAGAACAAGCCAUAUGAGUCGAAGUUUAUCCAUUCCUUUUACCUUCGGGAUAAAAGCAAUAUCUGUGGGCCCCUCGAUGAUUUAAUGAUGAUACAUGUGAGUGCUUGGCCAAGCCAGGACUAAUUUGAUUUGUUCAAUCAGUCAGUAUCAUGAAUCGGAAAUCAAGAAACAACAGAUGGACAGAGAGAUGGAUUUAUAAUCCAUGUCUCAGUCCAUAUGAUAUCUAGAAUGGAGGAAUAUAUGAUCCCUUAUCUAAUGGACAAGUCAUUGACAAAGGUCAGAGAUCAUCGGCAAGGUCCGAGUUCGACAGCAGCUUUCGAGAGCUGUGAUUGCUAGUCGGGUAAUGAAGUCGUACUUGCAAUAAUAGUUUUAGANUGGGAGACUGUUGGAUUAAUGUCUAAGUCCAUAACUAUAAUUGGUAAGACUUGACCCGACCCGACAUGGUCCAUUUGGGUUGCAUGGCAUCAUGCAUUUGGAUAGACUAUAAUGAGAGAAAUAACACUUAAGGUUGGUUAAUAUAUUAUAAGUUCUAAUAUAUUAAUAAGAUUAUUUAAUUAGUAUUGAUCAAGAAUUAAUCUAGUAUUAAUUAAGUGAUAAAAAUAAGACUAAUUAAAUAUAUGGGUUGAUUGUGUAAAUCAUCCAUACUUAUAUAGUGGGCUAAUGCUCCAUGGAUUGUCAAGUUGGGCUAAAACCCAUAAGAUGCUCCAUGGUGUAUUUGUACCCAUGGAUCAUGGAAAUGAAAGGCCAUGAAUAUUAGGGUUUACAUGGUGUAACCCUAACUAUAUAAUGAUCUUAUUCUUGGAGAAAAUUGGCCACUAUGUGUGAGAAAAAGGUCUAGCCGAUUUUCAUGAAGUGUGUAAGUUCUCUUAAGUUAUUCCAAGCGUAUUUGGUGUUGUGUGAACCGUUUGAGGUGUCACGCUUGGGGCACUAGGCACUGAAGCUUCAUGAAGACAUUCUACAUCAAAUAGGUAUGUAAUUCUAACUUGAUAUAUUCAUAUAAAUCAUUGUUAUUAUGCUAGUUAGGAUGAAUACCUUGGAAAGUUCAUAUUUGCAUGUAUAAUAGAGAAAACAUAGAUCCAAGGUUUUUAUGGUUGCAUCUACAUUUAGGAGUGUUAGAAUGCUCAAAACCCAAUAGAAGAAUGUGACAUUUUGGUGGGGCCUAGAUCAGCAGUUGGCUUUCGAGACCUUGAGACAGAGGUUAUGUGAGUCCUCGUUUUUAUUACUACCCUAAGGCUUGGAUGACUUAGUGGUGUAUUGUGAUGCAUCUAUUAUAGGGUUAGGGGUUGUUUUGAUGUGGAGAGGGCAUGUGAUCGCGUACGACUCAAGGAAGUUGAAGCCUGAUGAGGCGACCUACCCCACUCAAUACCUGGAAUUAGAGACGGUGGUGUUGGCCCUCAAAAUCUGGAGGCACUACUUGCACGGAGUUCAUUGCACCAUCUAUACUAACCAAAAAGUUUGAAAUAUUUGAUGGAUCAGUAAAACUUUAACAUGCAGUAGAGGAGGUGUUUGGAUGUACUAAAAGAUUACGAUUGCGAGAUUUUAUACCACCCAGGAAAGGCCAAUAUGGUGGUCGAUGCUCUGAGCCGUAAGGCGACAAGUGCUCCUUUUUAAGAUGUUUGUCUGAGGAUGAAGGUGAUUUCCCCGUUGUUUGAUAUGGUCAAGAAGGCUCGGGUGGAGGGUUUGAAGAGAGAAAAUUGGAAGUUAGAGCGGAUUCGGGGUCAGAUUCCCUUGUUUGUUCGGGAUGGUUGGGGUCUUUUGACACAGUGUGGUCACGUGUGGAUACCUGCAUCUAGGCGAGUGACACAGAAGAUCUUUGAGGAGGCACACAAGUUCAAGUUCUUUAUUCAUGCGGGGGCUACAAAAAUGUAUGGAUAUCUGAGGUUGAGUUACUGGUGGCCCUGCAUGAAGCAGGAGGUCGCUAGGUUCAUGGAGCGGUGCUUGACCUACAGGAAGGUAAAGGCCUCACGGCAAGGUCCAGCCGCUACCAAUUUCCAUGCGGAAAUGGGAAGAUAUCACCAUGGACUUCAUCACAAAGUUACCAAGGACGACGAGGGGAGUGGAUUCCUUUUGGGUCAUUGUGGACAGAUUGACGAAGAGUGCCCAUUUUAUUCCGAUCUCUAAGUGUAUAUCUGCUGAGAAGUUAGCUGAUAUCUAUGUGCGAGAGGUGGUAGUCAGGCACGAAGUGUCGGUAUCCGUGGUAUCAGACAGCGAUGUCCGAUUUACCUCCAGGUUUUGGACGAAGUUCCAUGAAGAAUUAGGCAUCCAGUUACAUUUCAGCACUGCCUACCAACCUCAGACCGAUGGUCAGAGCGAGCGGAUGAUUCAGACGCUCAAGGAUAUGCUUCGAGCUUGCAUAUUGGAUUUCAGAGGGAGUUGGGAUACAUACCUCCCACUAGCAGAGUUGUGUUAUAACAAUAGUUAUCAUGCCAGUAUUAACCGACCCUCAUUUUGGAUGUUGUAUGGUCAGAGGUGCAGGAAUCCCGUAUGUUGGGGCGAGGUAAGGCAUCGAGUCAUGGGAAGCACCUAGGUGGUGCUCAAGACUAUCGAGUUGAUUCAGUGGGUAUGCGACAGACUACAAGUCACACAGAGCCGUCAGAAGAGUUAUGCUGACCGGCACCGAUCGGACCUCGUGUUUCUGGUGGGAGAUUUCCUCUUGCUGAAAGUGUCACCAUGGAAGUAUGUCAUUAGGUUUCGGAAGAGGGGCAUGUUCGGGCCCUGAUUUAUUGGUCCAUUCAGGAUUUCUGCCCGAUUCGAUAGGGUUGCUUAUCAACUGGACCUUCCGGACAAGUUGAAUCAGAUUCAUAACACCUUCCAUGUAUCCCAGCUUCAGAAGUGUGUCAGUGACGAGGCUGUAUUUAUCUCUUUCGAUGACAUUCAGGUAGAUAAGAGCCUGAACUACAUUGAGAAACCCGUUGUAGUUUUGGAUAGGAAGACUAAGGUUCUUCGUAACAAGGAGGUGAAGCUAGUGAAGGUGCAAUGGCAGCACCGAAAAAUCUCUGAAUGGACAUGGGAGUCGGAGGAUGAGAUAUGGGAGCAUUACACGGAUCUGUUUGUGUCUGCGUAAUUUGAGGAUGAAGUCUAGUCCAAGUGGGGGAGAGUUGUAACACUCCAAAUCAGGUAAACCGUUCUAACCCAUCGAAAUUAUUUAAUUUGGAAAAAAAUGGUCCUUUCUGUACGUUGGGCGUACCUAAAUGUACGCUUAGCGUACUAUGGAGGAAGGAUCGUGAAGGAAUAUUGACUACGUGGGGCAUACACGACAAAGGACCAAAACCCAAAAACCUGGACAUGAGACAUAUUUAUUCAUCCUUAAGCCACUUAGAUACUAACUAGACCGUCGGAGCUUCAUUCUAGGAUCCCCUCGCGGACGACGACUGGCGUCUAUUCUUUCUUUUCAAUGAUUCUCAGGCUUAACCCAUGUAACACUCCAAAUCAGGUAAAUCGUUCUAACCCCUUGAAAUGAUUUAAUUUGGCAAAACUGGUCCCUUUUGUACACUUGGCGUACCUAAAUGUACGCUUAGCGUACUAUGGAGGAAGGAUAGCGAAGGAAUAUUGACUACGGUGGGCGUACGCGACAGCGGACCAAAACCAUAAAACCCAUACUUGAGAAAUAUUUACUCAUCAUUAAGCCACUUGGACUAAACCCUAAACAGCCUUUAGAGUCUCAUUCUGUCCCUUUACAUUAGUUUUCCUUUGAGAAUGUUAUUUUCGAGCAUAGAAGUGUGUUGGUGGCCAUUUUGGAGCUUAUUCGAAAAGAAGAAGUUAGUGAGCAAGCUUGGUGUGGCAUUGUGUCACACCCCCAAACCUGAACGGCGGAAACGUUCAGGGGCGGANNNNNNNNNNNNNNNNNNNNNNNNNNNNNNNNNNNNNNNNNNNNNNNNNNNNNNNNNNNNNNNNNNNNNNNNNNNNNNNNNNNNNNNNNNNNNNNNNNNNAUUUUGGUCGUUACAAAGAGUUGAAAUAUCGGGUUGUCACACAUUGGGCUUCAAGAACCUGCAUCUACGUCACCUUGAGGAGCUUAUGGAGGUAUAAAGUCUUAAUCUUGACAUCUUAUUCAUUAGAUUGAGUUAGGUUUUUCAAUAUUGUCCCCUUUUUGGUUCUUGGAUCUUCUCUUGAUACUUGAGCAAAUCCAGAGACUAAGAUUGUUAGAUCUAAGCUUUGUGAGCACGCUAGAUGCAUAAAGGUGCUAGCUUGAAGGUUAUCUAGAGUCCAUGCAUGAGUUUGAAGCUUUAUAUGAAGUCCUAAUGUGAAGAAUGAAGUCUUGAAGUCCCUUAUAGCAUGAAAGGGCAUAAAGUUGCCAACUUUAUGCACUAGGACGUCUUAAUGAGAUCAGAUGUGAUAUUGUACGUUAGAAUAUCAAGUAUUAGGCACCGAAUUGAAUUUGUUGCUUAAUCUGCUUGUACGUUGGGCGUAAUAUAGCGUACGCAGCGCGUACAACCUAGGACUCAGUACGUUGAGCGUACUGAAGUGGUACGCUUGGCAGACGCACCCUAGUUGGUUUUGGGUUUUGUGUAGGUGUGUAAGCCCUUUGGGCCUUAAUCCAUUUUGGUCCUAGUCAUAUUUUAGCUUAGUGGUUCGAUUAAUCUGUUUUGGGCCAUGGUUGUCUUGGUUGGGCCUUAUUGGGCCAUGUGGCCCAUUAAUAGUUUUAGACAUGGAGUUUAGGCCCAUUAGCAAGGGAAGACUCUUGGGCCAUUAUGAAAGGACUUGGGCUUAGGUGAUUGGGUUCUUUAAUUAGAUUAUAUUCAAUCCUAAUUUGGGGUUAAUGAUAUUAUUGUUCAGCGCGGGUGGUUUCGGAUAGUUAGGCGAGAAGCUUUCGUGUUCAGUAGACUAAGGUGAGUCUCUUCACCAUACCAAUAGGUUGAAGGCACCAAGGCCGGCCCAUUAUGUGUUAUGUGGUAUGCUAGUCGAUUAUAUGGUAUGUGGUAUGCUAGUUGUUUCUGUUUUACUUGCAUGAAAGAUCUCAGGGGGUUCCCAAGGCAAUUGGAUAUAAGACCAUGUGGGGGUUCACAUGGCAUUCCAGGCUAAGACCAUGUGGGGGUUCCCCUGACAUUCCAGACUAAGACCAUAAGGGGGUUCCCAUAGCACCUAAUGUAAGACCUUCGAGGGUUUCCAUGGCAUCCUUAUUUAAGAUCAUGUGGGGGUUCCUAUGGUAGUGGGCUAAGACAAUGUGGGAGUUCCCAUGGCACCCGGAGUAAUACCUUGGAGUGUUUCAAAAGCAUCCUUAUAUGUUUGUAUGCACGGCUUAUGUAGCUUAUAUGGCUGAUACGGUUUAUGUAAUUAUGUGGAUUGUGUGAGGUAUGUUAUAGGGAACUCACUAAGCAUUAGCUGAGAGUUUGUUGGUUGUUUUAGGUACUUUAGGAUCUAAGGGCAAGAGCCCGGCGUGAUGGCGCGGCAUGCACUCACUGGCGUUUUUAUUAGGGAGACUCUUAUAUUAUGAAUAAAUUGUCUGGUGUUAUGGAUUUUGAAAACUAAUGUGAUUGGAAUUUUAUAUUUUACGGAAAUGAUUUCGUUACUUAAAAAUGAAAUAUAUAUAUAUAUAUANNNNNNNNNNNNNNNNNNNNNNNNNNNNNNNNNNNNNNNNNNNNNNNNNNNNNNNNNNNNNNNNNNNNNNNNNNNNNUAUAUAUUGGAAAUUUGGGAUGUUACAACCCAAGCAAGGCAUCCAGUGAUGGAGUUAAGCUCCGGCGACAUAUCACAACACAUACUAUGCAAAAAGAAUCAACUAUCAUAAAACAAACAUCUAAGGAAAGGAUCUUAUCAUGGAAGAAGAUGAUAGUGAUGGUGCAAACAUCAAAUUCUGGUCCACUAUUUCGAAAGAUGAAGAAGUCUUAAGGCCAACUUAUGGAGCUAUAUUUGUGACUAGUGGCUUUUGUGCAAGUAAAAGCAAGAGUAAAUGUCUGAUGGUGAAGAGCUCAAGCUCUGAUUGCUCAAAAUGGAACUCCAAAGCUAAUUUGCGGAUUGGAGAUUCUGAUUCAAACUCCCCAUCUACUUAUCUUUCCACAAAUAGCGUUGGUGAACAUGGGGAAUCAUGUGAGAAGGUUUUUGAAAAGGUACAUUUUAUCCUUAAAUCUUUAAAUAUUUCAACUUCUUGUUAUGAUGAUGAAUUAAAUGAAUUAAGAGAAACCAUUUCAGAGUUAAGUAGGAACAUAAGAUGGAAUUGGAGAAAAGUUGUUAAUCUUAGUGAUGGUCUUAGCAAGUGUUUAUCUAAGAAUGAAGAGAGAAGAAUUAGAAUAGAGACCUUAGAGUCUGAAAUGAUCAGAAUAAAAUAUGACGUGGUUGUAAUGAAAAGUGACAAUAAAAUGUCAGUAAAACAAAGAAUUAGUUUCUGUCAAAUAACCAAAUGAUUUUAUUCUCAAUUAACAGAAUUAUGUCAUAAUAGUGAAAUUUUUUAAGAAGUACAUCAUGAUAUGCUAACAUUUUUGGAAUUUAAUGAAGAAUAAAUUGAUGUCAUAUCUUACGAAUGUGAAUCCCUAGUCUUUUCUAAUGACUUAUUGAAUUAUUCUUAUAGAAUAGGCAUUGAAAAAGUUGAAGAACUUUUUGAAAAAUAAACAAAUCAAGAAAAUGAUGAAUGAAACCUUAACCAAUGAUGAAAAGAAACAAAUUGAAAAGGAAUCUAAUUAUUUUCAUUUUUUCUUUUGUAGUAGUUGAAUUGUGACGAGUCUCACAAUGAUCAAAAUGAAUCUGAUUUUGUUGAGAGUAAUAUUAGUCAAAUUUAUGUCGAAGAUGGAUUAUUCAAAUUUUGCGUUAUGAAAAACCAAAAAAAGUUAAUUCAUGAAGAUUCAUUGGAUUAAUAAGACAAAGAUUUUUCCUUUUACAUAUUCAAUAUCUCAAAUCUCACAAAAGCCCAAACAAUUUUAGGUGAUUCAUGAUGAAGAGUAUGAUUCAAAAUUUUGCAUUCAUAACGAUUGUUUUUGUCACACGACUCAAAGGAAAUCACAUUUGAGAGAAUUUAGAUCUUUGAAAGGUGGUGUAAGUGUCAAGUUUGGAAACAAUGAAAUAGCAAUACCCAAAGGAUAUGAAAUGAUUACAAAUGGAGAAGUUACAAUAUGAAAGGUAGCUUAUGUAGAACGUUUGAAACAUAAUAUAAUUAGUGUUUCACAAAUUGUUGUAAGUACAUGUCUUAAGGUCUCAUUUGAUGAAAGAAGCUUAGAGAUAUAAUAUAUAUAAUCCAAGAAAUUGAUUGUGAAGUCAAAGCAAAAAUUGGAGUUAUAUCCUUUAGAUUUGAAACGGAUUGAAGGAAAUCGAUCCAUAUGCCUACUCUUGAAAGUUACUGCUUUUGAUAGUUGGUUGUGGAAUCGGAGGUUAUCACAUCUAACUUCAAAGACAUCAACAAACUUGUUCUUGGUGACUUAGUCUAUGGUCUUCCAAUACUCAAAUAUGACAAAGAACAUUUUUUUGCUACUUGUGAACUAGGAAAACGAAAUCGAAAAAUCCAUGCUUCUAUUAUGUUUACAAAAAAUUUUGAUCUUGUAGAAUUACUUCAUAUUGAUCUAUGUGGUCCAACCUCUAUUGAAAGAAUUGGUGGUAACAACUACAUUCUACUUAUUAUUGAUGAUUUUUCUAGAUUUACAUGAGUUUAUUUUCUUAAGCAGAAAUAUGAAACCACACAAAAGAUGAUUGAUUUUUUGAAGCAUAUUUAAUUACAACUCCGAAAGCCUGUGAGAAAAUUUUGAAGUGAUAAUGGUACAAAAUUCAAAAACAAAUUUUCUAAGGAACUCAUGAAAAACAAGGGAAUCAAUCACAAUUUUCAUCAGCAUACACACCUAAAAAAACAAAGAUGUUGAAAGGUGAAAUUGAUCUCUUUGUGAAGCUGCAAGAACUAUGCUUUCAUUUGCAAAUUUGCCUCUUUAUUUUUGGCCGAAUGUCAUUGGAACUACAGGUUUUAAACAAAAAAAUCUUACAUUUACAAAUUAUUUUUUAUAACUCCAUAUGGGAUAUUAAGUAAUUGCAACCCUAACAUAAACUCUUUCAUCUUUUUGGUUCUAGGUGUUUUAUAUUCAACUCCAAAGAGCAUCAGAACAAGUUUGAUGUGAACGCCGAUGAACCAGUUUACCUAGUUUAUUCUUUAACAUCAAAAGCUUAUCGAGUUCUUAAUAAGAAAUCUCGAAAGAUAGAAGAAAGUUAUUGUGUUACAUUUGAUGAUAAAUACAUCAUAUCUUUUCAAGAAACAUAAAUUUCAUGUGAAGAGAUUUUCUCUCCAAAAUGUAGCAUCCCAAAAAUUAUAAAAAAAAAAUUCAUUUUUGUAAAACAUAUCCACAAACCAAAUUAACCAUUGUUUCAAGCAAAUCCAUAAAAUCAGAGUAUCAAAAUUCCCUCAAAACAUAUAUCAUCUAGAAGAUGUGUAUGAUCAUGCCUUCGCCUUGCCCCAAUCCUCUGAUGUAUCUAAAACCGUAAAACCAACAAUUGUAAGCCAAAGCUUAGCGAGUUCUCUCAAAGUACCAAACACAACAAUAUGUAUGUGUGUGUGUGUGUAUAUAUAUAUAUAUAUAUAUAUAUAUAUAUACAUAUAUAUAAUGAGUGCACGAUGUGCCCACAACAACAUACUGCAUUGCCCCUUAGCCCAUAGCAAGAGGACAGAUUUCCCUCCCGGCCCAUAGCUCAUGACUUACUUGCUCCUGAGCCAAUAACAUAAGACUGGAUUUCCCUCCCAGCCCUAAUCUUACGAUUGGAUUGCUCUUGGGUUUGUUGGCCUACAGCACAAUGUAGUACCGCCUCAACCCAACCGCACUUUGUCUGUCACACCCCAAAACCGGAACGUCGGAAACGUUCGGGGGUGGAGGACGUCACGUUCGGGGGUGGAGGACGUCAUGUUAAGUACCAUUUCAUUUUAAAAGAAAGUGUUUACAAUGUGUGUUCACAAAACAUAGAAUUCAUACACAAAUAACAAAACAAGGCUUGAAGCUGUAAUGCUUCAUCUUCUAAAUCCCCAGCACGAGCACCUGUCUAAUAGCCUCCUGAGAAUACAAGUUAUUUGAAAAAGUUGAUCAGCAAUUAAGCUGGUGAGUUCAUAAGAUUUUAGUGAUGUGAGUAAGCUGUAAAGUGUUGUUGAAAAUGUUUAUGUAAAAGUGAUGUAAGUUGUAAAGUGUUGUUGAAAAUGUAUAUGUAAAAGUGAUGUAAGCUGUAAAGUGUUGUAGAAAAUGUAUACGUAAAAGUGAUGUAAGCUGUAAAGUGUUGUUGAAAAAUGUAUACGUAUAAGCAAUGUAAGCUGUAAGUUCUAUUUUGAAAAGUUCGCCUAUUCCUCUAGAAAAUCAUAUAUUUCCUACUUGAAUGAAAGUUAAGUAAAAUGACACUACAAGCCUUUCUAUGGGUACUAAGUGGGAAAAAGUUAUAUAUAACUCAGAGUAAACAAACAAUCGAUUGUGUGCAUCUGCCCUAAGCUCACAACCCAACGGGGAACAGAAAGUAAGGCAGAUAGCACACAUUCCAUUGGUUGUUAGAUCGUUAUCAUAUAUAACCCUAGUGUAUUCACUUGUUACUCAUUGAGUUAUUUGUAAUGGUUCCUUUAUAUCUAAUGAAAAGUUCUUUUAAGAAAACCUAUAUUUCUUAUAGUAAAAUAUUGACCACAGUGACUACUUUUAUAAUAGCUUUGUUUAUACUGCUAUAUAUAAUCUGAUAUCGGGUAGAAAGUUAAUUGGGUGAAUCUGCCCUAAGUCCACAACCCAACGGGGAACAGGAGGUAAGGCGGAAAACACACAUUUAACAACCUAUUGGGUAUUAGUUUUAUAUAUCAACAUGGUGUAUAAACUAAGGUAUUACAGAGUUACUCACCUAAAGUCUUUAAAAUCGUACUUGCUUAAUAAAAUGGAUUAAGCCCUUAUUUGGGAAAUUUCUAGUUUUGUAUACCAAAAGUACUGACUUUGAAAAGUAUGUUUUUGUACUAGAAAAACUGUGCUUUGACUAUGUGUCCUAUAACCUGAUCCAUACUUGGUACCCUUAUGAUGACUUAAUGUAUACUAGGCAUAUAUAUAUAUAUAUAUAGAUUCGGNNNNNNNNNNNNNNNNNNNNNNNNNNNNNNNNNNNNNNNNNNNNNNNNNNNNNNNNNUAAAUAUAUAUAGAUUCGGGUAGAUAAUAGAUUGGGUGAACUCGUUCCAAGCCCACAACCCCACGAGGACAGGAAAUGAAGCGAAGAGCACACAUCCUAUUAGCUGUCGGAAUCUAUUAGUAUAUAUGUAUCCUAUAGUGUAUACAUUAAGGAGUCAUAAGAUUAGCAUUAUGGUCCUAACUUUUAAAAGUAGCCUUCUACCAAGACUCAACUAUUUUGAAAGUAGCCUUCUACCAAGACCCGACUGUUUUGAAAGUAGCCUUCUACCAAGACCCGACUGUACGACUAUUAUUAAUUAAAUCUAAUCUACCUUAUCGAUUAUGUGAAUAUGGCACAUGGUAAAGGUAUUAAUAAUAUUGAAACUGGAAUUUUAUAUCCUUCUGUAAUUGUCGUACUGACAGUGUAAGUAUUGUAGUAUUUGUAAUAAGUGACUACUUUUAGUACUAUUUUGCCUUAGUUGAGGGUUAAGGCAUAAUGUGAUGGCUAGAUCCUAUGCUAAACGUUCCCUUGUCAAGAGAUUUUAGGAACUACACACGACCCCUGCAUGAGUGCAAGCCGCGAACAUCCACAUUACUAUGAUCAUGUAUACCUAAUAUAACUAUCACAAUGUAGGAGUGAUUCAUUGGUUUAGUUAGAUCCUGAAAACGUUCCAUGCUAUAGCACCUUAUUAUGUUUUGUUCUGUUAUCGUGUAUUAAUAUCGUAUUUAUGUAAAUGUAUUCAUGUAAGCGUAUCUAUGUAAAAGUAUCUAUGUAAACAUAUUUACGUAAACGUAUUUCAUUUGUAUAGACACAUGAACUGAACUGACUCUUUGUGUGCUUCAUUGUACUAGAAGUAAUGAAUAACAUUCUCCUAAACUAUACCUAUAAUAGUUUACUAAUAUUCUACCUGGACUGUUACAGAAAAGACUCAUUUAUCUACUAAGUUAUGCUUGUACUUUAAAAACAGAGUUUUGUAUAACUAUAAAGUAACAUAACCUUUAAAAGAGUUUUGAAAUGUUUUGACAACUUAUAAAUAACAUAAGUAACAUUUUGAAAGAUGUUUAUAAUAAACAUUUACACAAUUAUCAUUGUGUUCAACUUGUAUUCCCCCCUUAAAACAAUUAAAAUAAUUAAAAUAUUCAUUACGGGGUAUGAACUCACCUGAUGUGGGUGAUUCACACGGGUAUGCGCGUACAGAUGAGAAGUUCCACGAAUAAAGUCCCGAGACACAAUAAGUCCUAAAUGAUAUAUAAUGACACAUAUUGGCAUGAAUAUAGUGUUUAUAACAACUAUAUGAAAGGAAACACCUUCUGGGACUAGGAAACUGAUGGGUUUUGGUCAUAAGACAUCCUAUGUGCUCAUACAAACCCUAAUGCUUGGAUCUAGGUUUCUCUAUUGUACAUGCAAGUUAUCCAAGACUAUAAACCCUAAUUCUAGCAUUCAAAUAAUCAUAUUAACAUGAGAAUAAGUUUAUAAUGUUACCUUGAUUGUUAUGUAGCAAUAACAAUCCCAAUUCCUCCUUGAAUUGACUUUGGAAGGCUUAGAGUCACAAGUGUCACUCCUCUAAUGGUUCACAAACACCAUAAGCAAGAGGAUGAAGAAGAGAGAGGAUGGAGGCUACCAAAAACGUCUAUAAACCCUAGAGCAAGUCUUAGCCACGUUUUUGGUCCUUAAGGGAUCUAUAUAUAGUUAGGCUGUUAGGGUUAUCUAACAAGGAAAUCCUAAUUUGGUUACUUAAGCCCUAAGCAACCCAUGGACUCCUUUAAUCAAGCCCUUCGAAGAUUUCCUUAUGGGUUUCCCAUUAGAAUUCGUCCACCCCUUGAUUUAAGACAAUCCAUGGCCCAAAUUGCAAUUAUCUUAUAAUUACAAUUCCAGUCCCUUAAGUUUAAUUAAUCUCUUUUAGUCACAAAACUAAUUACCAAUUAAUUAUUGACUAAUAUUAAUUAAACAAUAUGAUUUCUCCUUUAAUAUAUUAUUCUCAUAAUAUAUUAAUAAAUCAUAUUUAAUCCUUUCUCUCCAUAAUUCAUCCUAUCAAGUUGCUUUGGUGAAGGCAACCCAAAAGGACCAUGCACCAUCGGGUCAAGUACAUACCAAAAUAGUUAUGGACUUAGACACUAAUCCAACAGUCUCCCACUUGGAUAAGUCUAAUAACUAUUUUGCGUAUGACUUCAGAUCCUGAUCUGCAAUCGUAGCUUUCCAAAGCCGCUGUCAACUCUGAUCCUAUCAGAUACGCGUGUCCUUAGAUAAGGGAUCAUAUAUUCCUCCAUUCUAGAUAUCAUAUGAGAUAUGAUUUCAAAUCAUUCUCUUUGUACUAUAUCUCGAUUCCCGAUUUAUGACGACUGACUAACUAAACAAAUCAAAUUAGCCCUAGCCCGGCCGAGCAUUUACGUUUGUCAUCACUAAAUCAUCGAGGGGCCCAAAGAUAUCACUUUUAUCCUACUUUGGAUAAAAGGAACGGAUAAACUUUGAUACAAUGCUUGCUUGCACUCACUCACCGAAUCACACACAACAAUAUGUUUUAUAACACCAAGUUACUAGUGCGUUUACAUAUUAUCAAUGUGCAACCGAUUUGCAAGAUACAACUCA